RNAcentral lists this ribosomal RNA (843 nucleotides) under Paramunida parvispina. RNAcentral's name for it is "partial 16S ribosomal RNA". The stretch from base 279 to 477 matches the Rfam family "Bacterial large subunit ribosomal RNA", at positions 1703 to 2026 of the family's 2925-position model. Lineage: Eukaryota; Metazoa; Arthropoda; Malacostraca; Decapoda; Munididae. The record is from RNAcentral.
UUAAACUAAGAAUAUAAGGGUAGAGCUUUAUAUUCAAAAAUAAAUUGGAGAUGAAUUAGAUAGAUAAUGAUUUAUAAAUUAGGCUUUUUAGUGGCCAUAUUUUUAAAGUAUUUUAACUAUUAAAAUUAAAAAGUUUUGUUUUUUUAUUCUCUUUGGUUAUAAGUAGUAGGAUAUAUUUAUAUUAAAAUUAAAUUAGGAAUAAUGAAAAUAUUAGUAGAAGUAUUUGUUGAAUUUAAAAUAAUAGAAUUUCAAAAAUAAUUUAAUGUAUAAAUAGGAGUAUUAAAGGAAUUCGGCAAAAUUUUUUUUUCUUGCCUGUUUAACAAAAACAUGUCUGUAUGAAGUUAUAUAGAGUCUGGCCUGCCCGUUGAAGAAAUUUGAAAGGCCGCGGUAUAUUAACUGUGCAAAGGUAGCAUAAUCAUUAGCUUUUUAAUUGAAGGCUUGUAUGAAGGGUCUGACAAAGAAAAAUCUGUCUUUAAUUUUAAAAUUGAAAUUAACUUUUAAGUGAAAAGGCUUAAUUGAAUUUAAGGGACGAUAAGACCCUAUAAAUCUUUAUAUUAAACUUUUAUUUUUGAAAUUAAUAUUUUGUAUAGGUUAUUAAAUAAGUAGUAAAUAUUUUGUUGGGGUGAUAAGAAUAUAAUUAUUAACUGUUCUAUAUAAACCAGAGUUGUUUGUUAAGUAAAGAUCCUUUAUUAAAGAUUAAAAGUUUAAGUUACUUUAGGGAUAACAGCGUUAUUUUUUUUGAGAGUUCUUAUCGAAAAGAAAGUUUGCGACCUCGAUGUUGAAUUAAAAUUUCUCUACGGUGUAGAAGUUGUAGAUGAAAGUCUGUUCGACUUUUAAAAUUUU